GUGCUUGCAGUACAGAUACUAAAAUUGGAACAAUACAGAGAAGAUUAGCAUGACUCCUGCACAAGGAUGACGAAAAAAUAGUUACUUAAAUUAGUCCUUUUUUU
Balaenoptera musculus (blue whale) is the source of this 104-nucleotide small nuclear RNA. NCBI's taxonomy places the organism in Eukaryota, Metazoa, Chordata, Mammalia, Artiodactyla, Balaenopteridae. The record is from Ensembl.